RNAcentral lists this ribosomal RNA (475 nucleotides) under uncultured bacterium. RNAcentral describes it as "bacterial SSU rRNA". It matches the Rfam family "Bacterial small subunit ribosomal RNA", at positions 29 to 532 of the family's 1533-position model. The record is from RNAcentral.
AGCGAACGCUAGCGGCGGGCUUAACACAUGCAAGUCGAGCGGAGAGCUUCGGCUCUCAGCGGCGAACGGGUGAGUAACACGUAGGUCACGUACCCUUUGAUGGGGAAUAACCUAGGGAAACCUGGGCUAAUACCGCAUAUGUCCUUCGGGAUGAAAGCCUUCGGGCGUCAGAGGAUCGGCCUGCGGCCCAUUAUUUAAUCCUAGUUGGUAGGGUAAUGGCCUACCAAGGGUACGAUGGGUAGCUGGUCUGAGAGGAUGAUCAGCCACACUGGAACUGAGACACGGUUCAGACUCCUACGGGAGGCAGCAGUGGGGAAUAUUGGACAAUGGGCGAAAGCCUGAUCCAGCCACGCCGCGUGGGUGAUGAAGGCCUUCGGGUUGUAAAGCCCUGUCGGGAGGGACGAAUCAAUGACGGUACCUCCCAAGAAAGCACCGGCUAACUCCGUGCCAGCAGCCGCGGUAAAGUAUCGUAACG